Molecule: transfer RNA, 72 nt
Filed under: Leguminivora glycinivorella
Lineage: Eukaryota; Metazoa; Arthropoda; Insecta; Lepidoptera; Tortricidae
Description: tRNA-Pro
Rfam family: tRNA
About the family: Transfer RNA (tRNA) molecules are approximately 80 nucleotides in length.
Source: RNAcentral
GGCAUGAUGGUUUAGCGGUAUGAUUCUCGCUUUGGGUGUGAGAGGUCCCGGGUUCAAAUCCCGGUCGUGCCC